This 465-nucleotide ribosomal RNA is filed under the name uncultured bacterium. RNAcentral's name for it is "partial 16S ribosomal RNA". It matches the Rfam family "Bacterial small subunit ribosomal RNA", at positions 339 to 795 of the family's 1533-position model. The record is from RNAcentral.
CUACGGGAUGCUCCAGUGAGGAAUUUUGCGCAAUGGGGGAAACCCUGACGCAGCAACGCCGCGUGAGUGAUGAAGGCUUUCGGGUCGUAAAGCUCUGUCAAGUGGGAAGAAUCCACACGGUGAUAAUACCACCAUGUGCUGACGGUACCACUGAAGGAAGCACCGGCUAACUCCGUGCCAGCAGCCGCGGUAAUACGGGGGGUGCAAGCGUUAUUCGGAAUUACUGGGCGUAAAGGGCGCGCAGGCGGUUUCUUAAGUCAGAGGUGAAAGCCCGGGGCUCAACCACGGAAGUGCAUUUGGAACUAAGGGACUUGAGUAUGGGAGAGGGAAGUGGAAUUCCUGGUGUAGCGGUGAAAUGCGUAGAUAUCAGGAGGAACACCGGUGGCGAAGGCGACUUCCUGGACCAAUACUGACGCUGAGGCGCGAAGGCGUGGGGAGCAAACAGGAUUAGAUACCCCAGUAGUC